RNAcentral lists this ribosomal RNA (769 nucleotides) under uncultured bacterium. RNAcentral describes it as "bacterial SSU rRNA". It matches the Rfam family "Bacterial small subunit ribosomal RNA", at positions 66 to 849 of the family's 1533-position model. The record is from RNAcentral.
GCGGAAGUUUUCGGAUGGAAGCAUAAACUUUAUCGGCGGACGGGUGAGUAACGCGUGGGUAACCUGCCUCAUACAGGGGGAUAACAGUUAGAAAUGACUGCUAAAACCGCAUAAGCGCACAUUGUCGAGUGACAGAGUGUGAAAAACUCCGGUGGUAUGAGAUGGACCCGCGUCUGAUUAGCUAGUUGGUGAGGUAACGGCCCACCAAGGCGACGAUCAGUAGCCGGCCUGAGAGGGCGACCGGCCACAUUGGGACUGAGACACGGCCCAAACUCCUACGGGAGGCAGCAGUGGGGAAUAUUGCACAAUGGGGGAAACCCUGAUGCAGCGACGCCGCGUGAGUGAAGAAGUAUUUCGGUAUGUAAAGCUCUAUCAGCAGGGAAGAAGAAAGACGGUACCUGACUAAGAAGCCCCGGCUAACUACGUGCCAGCAGCCGCGGUAAUACGUAGGGGGCAAGCGUUAUCCGGAUUUACUGGGUGUAAAGGGAGCGUAGACGGCUGUGCAAGUCUGAAGUGAAAGCCCAGGGCUCAACCCUGGGACUGCUUUGGAAACUGUGGAGCUAGAGUGCUGGAGAGGUAAGUGGAAUUCCUAGUGUAGCGGUGAAAUGCGUAGAUAUUAGGAGGAACACCAGUGGCGAAGGCGGUUUACUGGACAGUAACUGACGUUGAGGCUCGAAAGCGUGGGGAGCAAACAGGAUUAGAUACCCUGGUAGUCCACGCGGUAAACGAUGAAUACUAGGUGUUGGAGAGCAAAGCUUUUCGGUGCCGU